This 253-nucleotide ribosomal RNA is filed under the name uncultured bacterium. RNAcentral's name for it is "partial 16S ribosomal RNA". It matches the Rfam family "Bacterial small subunit ribosomal RNA", at positions 524 to 776 of the family's 1533-position model. The record is from RNAcentral.
UACGUAGGGGGCAAGCGUUGUCCGGAAUCAUUGGGCGUAAAGAGCGUGUAGGCGGCUCGGUAGGUCCGCUGUGAAAGUCCAGGGCUCAACCCUGGAAUGCCGGUGGAAACUGUCGAGCUAGAGUCCGGAAGAGGCGAGUGGAAUUCCUGGUGUAGCGGUGAAAUGCGCAGAUAUCAGGAGGAACACCUGUGGUGAAGACAGCUUACUGGACCGCUUCUGACGCUGAGACACGAAAGCGUGGGUAGCAAACAGG